GAACUGCGGCGGGGGUGGCUGGGCCACCGGAGGGAAGCGGGUGUGGCCCAGGCAGCGGGGGCUGGGACAGACCUGGAAAGGAGGAAGCGGGGAAGGAAGGUUGUCCUGCCGGGCUGGGGGCUCCCGGUAAUCCGGAGGCCAGCAGUGGAACUGCAAGGGUCUACAGGGCAGAUCUGCCUCCCGGCCUGUUUCAGCUACGCUGAGUCGUUGGCUCAAGGCGGAGGAUUUUCCUAUUGGCUGCGUUAUUUGAAUGGAAUGGAGGAUAGGUCGUGAAGUAGGUGCUGGUGGUUGCUCUAAGGAACUCAGAUGAACUUGGGCAUGUCAGAAUUAAUAACCUUUUAAAAGUGAGGUCUGUGUAGCCGAGGGUUUUAAUGUCCUACACAGGGAGUUGACCAGAACCAACACGGAACCACCCUAACUUGCUUCAGACUCCAUUGCUAGAUCAAUCCUGAUUUCUAGAUCAUAGCAUCUAAUCCUUUGCCUUGCCUCUGGAUUACAAGGGUGGAACCAAGCAGAGGGGUUGACCCAAGCCAUCCUUGGGUGUUUCCAUGGGAAAGAAGGAUUUCACUGAGAAUAAUAAGUGACACCAAGGCUCAAAAGAAUGAGAGAGAAGUCUGUUGGUCUCUUGAACAGCAAGGAUUUGCUCACAGAUCUCUGGAAGUAGCCAGAAUGUGACAGGAUCUCAAAAUGAAUGGCUGCUUCAUGGAGGCUGGUACGUAAGCCUGGGACUCCCACUAGCCAAACAUAGCUGUGCCACAAACAUGGCUGAAAUGUAGCAGUUUGGUGGAUCUGAGGUCAGUCAGUAAAAAUGUAUUGAUUGGCACCUGUUCUUUGUCAAUCAUUAUUCUGGGUUCUGGGGACACAGGAGUGAAUGAAACAAAUGAAGUACCUGCCAUCAAUGAGCUUACAUUCUAGUGAGGAGGGACAGAAAAUGAAUACAUUUUAAUUCAGAUACCACUAAAUGUAGUGAAGAAAAAAACUGGGCUAAAGAGAGCGAAAAACAAUUUCUGAAGUUACUUGCAGUAAAGAGUGGGAGAAGAAAAGAUACUGAUUUAACCGGGAAAGAUCUGAGCUGAGGGUGUAUCCAGGUUUUCUGGAACCUGAUAUUGUUACAGUUUAGAGAUUCUUCUUUAAGAAAAAGGAUUUAAAAUUACAAAUAAUUAAGUUCAGGGCCUUGGAAGGGGUCCACUCAAGUGAACAGAAGAUUAUGUGCUCCUUAUGAAAUACAUGAUUUAAAACUACAGCAGUGGCUGGGCGUGGUGGCUCAUGCCUGUAAUCCCAGCAUUUUCCCAGC
This is a long non-coding RNA of Cercocebus atys (sooty mangabey), 1294 nucleotides long. RefSeq lists it as uncharacterized. The transcript has 3 exons. NCBI's taxonomy places the organism in Eukaryota, Metazoa, Chordata, Mammalia, Primates, Cercopithecidae. The record is from RefSeq and is a predicted model, not a curated record.